This 257-nucleotide unclassified non-coding RNA is filed under the name Hevea brasiliensis (rubber tree). Lineage: Eukaryota; Viridiplantae; Streptophyta; Magnoliopsida; Malpighiales; Euphorbiaceae. The record is from RNAcentral.
ACAUGGAGGUGGUGGAAGCUUUACUAGGUCUCCUUCACUAGGAAAUCGUUGGUUGACGACCUUGGAGACCCCAGGUUUCUUCUCCCAUGAGAAGGGUACACUUCCUUUUGCGUAAGCCUUAAUUUGAUUCAUAUUGGAACAAAUCUUUAUGUAUAGGAACUUGAGAGAAGGAACUUGAGGGAAAAGGGGUUGGCUAUUUAUGCCUUAUAUAAGAAGGAACCAUGAAGGAAGAUAAUGGCAGAAACUGCUAGGUCAAG